This 614-nucleotide ribosomal RNA is filed under the name uncultured bacterium. RNAcentral describes it as "bacterial SSU rRNA". It matches the Rfam family "Bacterial small subunit ribosomal RNA", at positions 338 to 954 of the family's 1533-position model. The record is from RNAcentral.
CCUACGGGAGGCAGCAGUAAGGAAUAUUGGUCAAUGGACGCAAGUCUGAACCAGCCAUGCCGCGUGAAGGAUUAAGGUCCUCUGGAUUGUAAACUUCUUUUAUUUGGGACGAAAAAGGGCCUUUCUAGGUCAACUGACGGUACCAGAUGAAUAAGCACCGGCUAACUCCGUGCCAGCAGCCGCGGUAAUACGGAGGGUGCAAGCGUUAUCCGGAUUCACUGGGUUUAAAGGGUGCGUAGGCGGGUAGGUAAGUCAGUGGUGAAAUCCUGGAGCUCAACUCCAGAACUGCCAUUGAUACUAUUUAUCUUGAAUAUUGUGGAGGUAAGCGGAAUAUGUCAUGUAGCGGUGAAAUGCUUAGAUAUGACAUAGAACACCUAUUGCGAAGGCAGCUUACUACGCAUAUAUUGACGCUGAGGCACGAAAGCGUGGGGAUCAAACAGGAUUAGAUACCCUGGUAGUCCACGCCCUAAACUAUGAUUACUCGACAUUUGUGAUACACAAUAAGUAGUCUGAGCGAAAGCAUUAAGUAAUCCACCUGGAAGUACGUCCGCAAGGAUGAAACUCAAAGUAGUAGUAGGACGNGUGAGAGCGACGGAGACACCGAGGAGGUUAGG